Molecule: ribosomal RNA, 472 nt
Filed under: uncultured organism
Description: partial 16S ribosomal RNA
Rfam family: Bacterial small subunit ribosomal RNA
Source: RNAcentral
CACUCCUGCGGGAGGCAGCAGUGGGGAAUUUUGGACAAUGGGGGCAACCCUGAUCCAGCAAUGCCGCGUGAGUGAAGAAGGCCUUCGGGUUGUAAAGCUCUUUUGUCAGGGAGGAAACGGUAGUAGCGAAUAACUACUACUAAUGACGGUACCUGAAGAAUAAGCACCGGCUAACUACGUGCCAGCAGCCGCGGUAAUACGUAGGGUGCAAGCGUUAAUCGGAAUUACUGGGCGUAAAGCGUGCGCAGGCGGUUGUGUAAGUCAGAUGUGAAAUCCCCGGGCUCAACCUGGGAAUUGCAUUUGAGACUGCACGGCUAGAGUGUGUCAGAGGGGGGUAGAAUUCCACGUGUAGCAGUGAAAUGCGUAGAUAUGUGGAGGAAUACCGAUGGCGAAGGCAGCCCCCUGGGAUAACACUGACGCUCAUGCACGAAAGCGUGGGGAGCAAACAGGAUUAGAAACCCCUGUAGUCCCA